RNAcentral lists this ribosomal RNA (677 nucleotides) under uncultured forest soil bacterium. RNAcentral's name for it is "bacterial SSU rRNA". It matches the Rfam family "Bacterial small subunit ribosomal RNA", at positions 64 to 767 of the family's 1533-position model. The record is from RNAcentral.
GAACGCUUGUCGAGAUUUCGGUUUGGCGAGAAGUGGCGCACGGGUGAGUAGCGCGUGGGAACCUGCCCUGUUGUGGGGGAUAACCGAGGGAAACUUCGGCUAAUACCGCAUACGCCCGGGGGCGACUCCGGGGAAAGAUUGAUCGCAGCAGGAGGGGCCCGCGUCGGAUUAGGUAGUUGGCGGGGUAACGGCCCACCAAGCCUGUGAUCCGUAGCUGGUCUGAGAGGAUGAUCAGCCACACUGGGACUGAGACACGGCCCAGACUCCUACGGGAGGCAGCAGUGGGGAAUAUUGGACAAUGGGCGCAAGCCUGAUCCAGCAAUGCCGCGUGAGUGAUGAAGGCCUUCGGGUUGUAAAGCUCUUUCGCACGCGAGGAUGAUGACGCUAGCGUGAGAAGAAGCCCCGGCUAACUUCGUGCCAGCAGCCGCGGUAAUACGAAGGGGGCGAGCGUUGUUCGGAUUUACUGGGCGUAAAGGGCGCGUAGGCGGUGCGGCAAGUCAGGCGUGAAAGCCCCGGGCUCAACCUGGGAGGUGCGCUUGGGACUGCGGCACUGGAGUUCGGGAGAGGAGCGUGGAAUUCCCAGUGUAGAGGUGAAAUUCGUAGAUAUUGGGAAGAACACCGGUGGCGAAGGCGGCGCUCUGGACCGAUACUGACGCUGAGGCGCGAAAGCGUGGGGA